UGCUACACUACAAGGUUGGGCCCGUGCCCUACAGAGUGAAGGACCUGACGACCUCAGUGCGGCGCGGCCGUCACGGUCAACCGAGAACAAUCAUUUGCCAUGACCUCGAUGAUCGCUAUCAUGACCGCUUCAUUUUUGGAAGUGCACAGACCGACUGCUGCCGUUUCCACUACUGGCAUUUAGUGAACGUAGUGAUCUACUACUCUCGCUACUUGGUCACCAUCCCACCGCCCGGCUGGAUCUCGGCGGCGCACACACACGGUACAAGGGUCCUAGGGACCGUGGUGCGCCAUCUGUGAUGCUGAGAUGACGUGUAAUCUGACCUCUAAGCUUGUACAAAUUGCAGCCAUGCACAAGUUCGAC
Long non-coding RNA from Rhipicephalus sanguineus (brown dog tick), 363 nucleotides. RefSeq lists it as uncharacterized. The transcript has 3 exons. The record is from RefSeq and is a predicted model, not a curated record. Lineage: Eukaryota; Metazoa; Arthropoda; Arachnida; Ixodida; Ixodidae.